Molecule: long non-coding RNA, 1743 nt
Filed under: Salvia miltiorrhiza (redroot sage)
Lineage: Eukaryota; Viridiplantae; Streptophyta; Magnoliopsida; Lamiales; Lamiaceae
Description: long non-coding RNA (SMIL_LNC007421)
Source: RNAcentral
CAAAAAUCCGAAGCUAGUGUUUUAUUAAACACGCGUUACUAUAUUACAAAUUUAGAAUUCCCAACACUGAGGGAUCUCCUUGUAUAUCCACCAAAUCUUCUAUUCCUACUUCUUUAUACCUAUCUGCCAACACCCCAUAGAAAUUGGGAAAGAAAGGGAAAUAAAAGAAAAAGGAUAUGAAAUGUGUGGGGCUGUGCAAAAUCUGCAACAGCCUCCAACUCCCUCCAAUCCCCUUUUCCCUACACCCUACCACCUAUUCCUUAGCACACUUAUUCCCCCAAUCCCCUUCACUCUACCUCUUGUAUCUAUUCUCUAGCACACUCAAAUGUGCAGGCAACAUUCCUCAUUUUGGCCUCAAACUUCAUCCAGCAAAUCACUUUCAUUAUCUUCCAUUCCACACAUAGAAUCCACCGAAGGGUAAGCUGCAUUCACUGUUCUGCCAAAACUCAAGGGGUAAGCUUCGCUUUAACUCUUUUCCUUUCAGUCAUUAGUUUCACCUGCAUUAACACAAAGAGCAACAACCUUGAAUAUUUCAGAUUCUCCCAAUCCAUUUAAUCCAACAACACCAGACAGCCAACAAAGCAAACACUCAAGGUAUUAUUCCUAUUUCAUACUCAAUUUAGCCGCACUCAUAACCGGUACAUGGUCAGUUAAGAAACACCAUAAAUAGGAGAAUAAGCAUGAUAGACAAACAAUACCAAUGUAUAGUAUGAGGAUGUACAUAAGUCAGUUUACUUCCAUCAAGAACCAACAACAGCCUAUGACCUUUAUACGAGCUAAAUGCAGUAAGGAUUUCCUUGAUACAACAGCAAGUUCAGUGCUUAGUGCAAUUUAUUGCAUAAUCCUUAUAUGAAAACCAAGACUUCACUGUAGAACUAUAGAUUGACUUAGCUUUUAGAGAGGGCGGGGGCUACUGCCCUGUUUGUUUGGGCCGAAGGACGUGAGUGGGCGGCAACUCGCGGGGACAGCAGCGUCGGCGGCGUCGAGCUGUGAAAGGCAGACAACUCCCGACCUCGGCGAUGGCCCUCGCCGAUUCUGGAUUGCAGCAGCAGCGGAGUACCCUUCGCCCGAAUCCAGCAGCAGCGUGGCGAGGCUCGAACCGUCGACCCCGGGGAAAACGGCAACGGCGGAGCUUUCCCUACUCGCUGGAGAAACGCAACGGCUGCGGCGAGAUUGAGAGUGCGCCGAGAAUAACUAGGGCUCGACCUCUGCCUCGGCUGUGUGUGUGCGUGUUUCCGGAGCUUCCAGAGGAGAAUUAGGGCUCAAAUUUUAGUGGCCUCCCCUAAAUCUGCGAGACAGCAGCAGAAGCUUGUGCCGGCGACGCGAAGGCGCCGGAUCUCAAGGGGUGGCGGCGGCGAUUUUGGAUUUUGGGAAAUUAGGGCUCCUCAUUUGGGGAUCCCCCAUUAAAUUGAGGAAGGAGGGAGGACGAACGAAGACGGCGGCCUCAGAGACGCAGACGACGGCCGUUCGCCGGACACCCAGUUGCAGCGGCGACGACGACCUUCAAUUUGUGAGUUAGGGCUCGAUUAAGACCUUCAAUUCGUGAGUUAGGGCUGACGAUAUGAAUUGAGGAAGAAACGAGACGAAGGGAGGAGGCUCGGCUGGCCGUCGUCCUCGCCGGAGCAGUUCGCGGCGGAGCUCGCGAAGAGAAAGGACGGGCGAGAGAGAGAGAGAGAGGUCUUGAGCGGCGUCUGAAUUUGAAGAGAGUGAGAGAGAACCGAUUGUAGAGGGGGAGGAUUUGGG